Molecule: ribosomal RNA, 2899 nt
Filed under: Klebsiella pneumoniae
Lineage: Bacteria; Pseudomonadati; Pseudomonadota; Gammaproteobacteria; Enterobacterales; Enterobacteriaceae
Description: 23S ribosomal RNA
Rfam family: Bacterial large subunit ribosomal RNA
Source: RNAcentral
UUAAGCGACUAAGCGUACACGGUGGAUGCCCUGGCAGUCAGAGGCGAUGAAGGACGUGCUAAUCUGCGAAAAGCGUCGGUAAGGUGAUAUGAACCGUUACAGCCGGCGAUGUCCGAAUGGGGAAACCCAGUGUGAUUCGUCACACUAUCGUUAACUGAAUACAUAGGUUAACGAGGCGAACCGGGGGAACUGAAACAUCUAAGUACCCGAGGAAAAGAAAUCAACCGAGAUUCCCCCAGUAGCGGCGAGCGAACGGGGAGCAGCCCAGAGUCUGAAUCAGCUUGUGUGUUAGUGGAACGGUCUGGAAAGUCCGACGGUACAGGGUGAUAGUCCCGUACACCAAAAUGCACAGGCUGUGAACUCGAAGAGUAGGGCGGGACACGUGGUAUCCUGUCUGAAUAUGGGGGGACCAUCCUCCAAGGCUAAAUACUCCUGACUGACCGAUAGUGAACCAGUACCGUGAGGGAAAGGCGAAAAGAACCCCGGCGAGGGGAGUGAAAAAGAACCUGAAACCGUGUACGUACAAGCAGUGGGAGCACCUUCGGGUGUGACUGCGUACCUUUUGUAUAAUGGGUCAGCGACUUAUAUUCUGUAGCAAGGUUAACCGUAUAGGGGAGCCGCAGGGAAACCGAGUCUUAACUGGGCGUUAAGUUGCAGGGUAUAGACCCGAAACCCGGUGAUCUAGCCAUGGGCAGGUUGAAGGUUGGGUAACACUAACUGGAGGACCGAACCGACUAAUGUUGAAAAAUUAGCGGAUGACUUGUGGCUGGGGGUGAAAGGCCAAUCAAACCGGGAGAUAGCUGGUUCUCCCCGAAAGCUAUUUAGGUAGCGCCUCGUGAACUCAUCUUCGGGGGUAGAGCACUGUUUCGGCUAGGGGGUCAUCCCGACUUACCAACCCGAUGCAAACUACGAAUACCGAAGAAUGUUAUCACGGGAGACACACGGCGGGUGCUAACGUCCGUCGUGAAGAGGGAAACAACCCAGACCGCCAGCUAAGGUCCCAAAGUCAUGGUUAAGUGGGAAACGAUGUGGGAAGGCACAGACAGCCAGGAUGUUGGCUUAGAAGCAGCCAUCAUUUAAAGAAAGCGUAAUAGCUCACUGGUCGAGUCGGCCUGCGCGGAAGAUGUAACGGGGCUAAACCAUGCACCGAAGCUGCGGCAGCGACACUAUGUGUUGUUGGGUAGGGGAGCGUUCUGUAAGCCUGCGAAGGUGUGCUGUGAGGCAUGCUGGAGGUAUCAGAAGUGCGAAUGCUGACAUAAGUAACGAUAAAGCGGGUGAAAAGCCCGCUCGCCGGAAGACCAAGGGUUCCUGUCCAACGUUAAUCGGGGCAGGGUGAGUCGACCCCUAAGGCGAGGCCGAAAGGCGUAGUCGAUGGGAAACAGGUUAAUAUUCCUGUACUUGGUGUUACUGCGAAGGGGGGACGGAGAAGGCUAUGUUAGCCGGGCGACGGUUGUCCCGGUUUAAGCAUGUAGGCUGGUUAUCCAGGCAAAUCCGGAUAAUCAAGGCUGAGGUGUGAUGACGAGGCACUACGGUGCUGAAGUAACAAAUGCCCUGCUUCCAGGAAAAGCCUCUAAGCAUCAGGUAACAUCAAAUCGUACCCCAAACCGACACAGGUGGUCAGGUAGAGAAUACCAAGGCGCUUGAGAGAACUCGGGUGAAGGAACUAGGCAAAAUGGUGCCGUAACUUCGGGAGAAGGCACGCUGGUGUGUAGGUGAAGCCCCUGCGGGUGGAGCUGAGACCAGUCGAAGAUACCAGCUGGCUGCAACUGUUUAUUAAAAACACAGCACUGUGCAAACACGAAAGUGGACGUAUACGGUGUGACGCCUGCCCGGUGCCGGAAGGUUAAUUGAUGGGGUUAUCCGUAAGGAGAAGCUCUUGAUCGAAGCCCCGGUAAACGGCGGCCGUAACUAUAACGGUCCUAAGGUAGCGAAAUUCCUUGUCGGGUAAGUUCCGACCUGCACGAAUGGCGUAAUGAUGGCCAGGCUGUCUCCACCCGAGACUCAGUGAAAUUGAACUCGCUGUGAAGAUGCAGUGUACCCGCGGCAAGACGGAAAGACCCCGUGAACCUUUACUAUAGCUUGACACUGAACAUUGAGCCUUGAUGUGUAGGAUAGGUGGGAGGCUUUGAAGCGUGGACGCCAGUCUGCGUGGAGCCAACCUUGAAAUACCACCCUUUAAUGUUUGAUGUUCUAACGUUGGCCCCUUACCGGGGUUGCGGACAGUGUCUGGUGGGUAGUUUGACUGGGGCGGUCUCCUCCCAAAGCGUAACGGAGGAGCACGAAGGUUAGCUAAUCCUGGUCGGACAUCAGGAGGUUAGUGCAAUGGCAUAAGCUAGCUUGACUGCGAGCGUGACGGCGCGAGCAGGUGCGAAAGCAGGUCAUAGUGAUCCGGUGGUUCUGAAUGGAAGGGCCAUCGCUCAACGGAUAAAAGGUACUCCGGGGAUAACAGGCUGAUACCGCCCAAGAGUUCAUAUCGACGGCGGUGUUUGGCACCUCGAUGUCGGCUCAUCACAUCCUGGGGCUGAAGUAGGUCCCAAGGGUAUGGCUGUUCGCCAUUUAAAGUGGUACGCGAGCUGGGUUUAGAACGUCGUGAGACAGUUCGGUCCCUAUCUGCCGUGGGCGCUGGAGAAUUGAGGGGGGCUGCUCCUAGUACGAGAGGACCGGAGUGGACGCAUCACUGGUGUUCGGGUUGUCAUGCCAAUGGCACUGCCCGGUAGCUAAAUGCGGAAGAGAUAAGUGCUGAAAGCAUCUAAGCACGAAACUUGCCCCGAGAUGAGUUCUCCCUGAGACUUUAAGUCUCCUGAAGGAACGUUAAAGACGAUGACGUUGAUAGGCCGGGUGUGUAAGCGCAGCGAUGCGUUGAGCUAACCGGUACUAAUGAACCGUGAGGCUUAACCUU